Molecule: ribosomal RNA, 468 nt
Filed under: uncultured bacterium
Lineage: Bacteria
Description: partial 16S ribosomal RNA
Rfam family: Bacterial small subunit ribosomal RNA
Source: RNAcentral
GACGAACGCUGGCGGCGUGCUUAACACAUGCAAGUCGAACGGAAGGGCCCUGCUUUUGUGGGGUGCUCGAGUGGCGAACGGGUGAGUAACACGUGAGUAACCUGCCCUUGACUUUGGGAUAAGUUCAGGAAACUGGGGCUAAUACCGGAUAGGAGCUCCUGCUGCAUGGUGGGGGUUGGAAAGUUUCGGCGGUUGGGGAUGGACUCGCGGCUUAUCAGCUUGUUGGUGGGGUAGUGGCUUACCAAGGCUUUGACGGGUAGCCGGCCUGAGAGGGUGACCGGCCACAUUGGGACUGAGAUACGGCCCAGACUCCUACGGGAGGCAGCAGUGGGGAAUAUUGCACAAUGGGCGGAAGCCUGAUGCAGCAACGCCGCGUGCGGGAUGACGGCCUUCGGGUUGUAAACCGCUUUCGCCUGUGACGAAGCGUGAGUGACGGUAAUGGGUAAAGAAGCACCGGCUAACUACGUG